GUGGGAACAGCUCAGUGGUAGAGUGCAUGCUUACCAUGCAUGAGGUUCCUGGGUUCAAUCCCCAGUACCUCCU
Molecule: transfer RNA, 73 nt
Filed under: Camelus bactrianus (Bactrian camel)
Lineage: Eukaryota; Metazoa; Chordata; Mammalia; Artiodactyla; Camelidae
Also listed under: 1 other name
Rfam family: tRNA
About the family: Transfer RNA (tRNA) molecules are approximately 80 nucleotides in length. Their secondary structure includes four short double-helical elements and three loops (D, anti-codon, and T loops).
Source: Rfam by way of RNAcentral